GAGACAGUUGCUUCACAUUUUUUUUUCCGUAUUCACUUCCUCAACCACAGUCCACAGCCAAUCCUCAGGCCCCAGCGCAGCCGCCAUCUAUCGUGCUGCCAUCGGCACGCACACGCACAAUCAUCAUCCAUUUCUUAUCCACCUCAUCCCACCACCAGCCACAUGUCUCCGGCCACGCGACGCCCUCCAGCCCCACCGCCGUGCGAUCUGGCGGUCUCCCGAUCCCGUCCGUCCGCUCCCCACCCCCAAAGCCCUCCUCUUCCUCGUCCCCCCAGACCUCACCUCCCUAGUCCCGUCCCGAUUCCCGAACAAGAGCGAGGCCGCACUCCCCCACGAGUCCACUCUCCGACCGCACGCUCCGCGACGCGAUGGCCGCGCUCCGCCUCGCCUCCUUCACCCUCCGCCCCGCCGCCGCCGCCGCCGCCUCUUCCGGCGCGACUCCAUCGGCUCCCCGGUCCGCCUCUUUCUCCAGCGUGGCGCGGGGGCUCCCCUCCCUCCGCCUGGCCCCGCCCCGCCGCCGCCGCGGGGACCUCGCCAGGCCCCGCGCCGCGGCCGAGGCCGCGGCGGAGAGCUACGCGUCCGCGCUGUCGGAGGUGGCCGUCGAGAACGGCACCCUCGAGCAGACGGUCUCCGACCUCGAGAAGCUGGAGAAGAUCUUCGCCGACGAGGCCGUCGCCGAGUUCUUCGACAACCCCACCGUCCCGCGCGAGGAGAAGGCCGAGCUCAUCGGCGAGAUCGCCAAGUCGUCCGAGCUGCAGCCGCACGUCGUCAACUUCCUCAACGUCGUCGUCGACAACUUCCGCGCGUCCAUCGUGCCGCAGAUCGUCGUCGAGUUCGAGAACGUCUACAACUCGCUCACCGGCACCGAGGUCGCCACCGUCACCUCCGUCGUGCAGCUCGAGUCGCAGGACCUCGCGCAGAUCGCGCAGCACGUCCAGAAGAUGACCGGCGCCAAGAACGUCCGCCUCAAGACGCAGCUCGACCCGGCGCUCAUCGCCGGCUUCACCGUGCAGUACGGCCGCGACGGCUCCAACUUGAUCGACAUGAGCGUCCGGAAGCAGAUCGAGGAGAUCGCGUCCGAGUUCGAGUUGCCCGCCGUCCCGCUCGAAGUCUGAGGCCGGCUUGAGGCGUCCAUCCUCGCCCUCGAAGCUAUAGCUGCUACUGUCUCAAGGAACCAAGCGGGAAUGUUGGCCCUGUCCCCUUCAGUCACUCAGACCUGCGGAUCAACGGUGGUGGCUCCAAAUCUCCGAUACAUAUAUGAACGGACCCUAUUUUUGUGCGUUUCGGUUGGCGGGAACCUCUGUAGUUCUUUCUCCUUUUUUUUCCUGUGGUUGACAGACACAGACAGACACUGUAAUAUGUUUUAAAACACUCAUCUAUAUAGCUGAGUGUGCACCUCUUCUCUCAAUCGUAUAUACAAGCUGAGAUAGAGUCAUGGGAUGA
This 1443-nucleotide unclassified non-coding RNA is filed under the name Zea mays. RNAcentral describes it as "misc RNA Zm00001eb255030". The record is from RNAcentral. Lineage: Eukaryota; Viridiplantae; Streptophyta; Magnoliopsida; Poales; Poaceae.